AUGGUUGCAUCAGCACUCUCGUUGAUCGCUUCAGUCUUCUUCACCUCUUCUGCUGGCAGGUCACUUGCUGAUAUGUUUUCUUCCACUUCAACAGGAGCGGCCUCGUCUGCAAGAGCAACAUUGUUUUUCACAUCUUCAGGGAGCUCACUGUUGUUUGCAUCAGCGCUCUCGUUGAUUGCUUCAGUCUCCACGGCUUCAGUAUCCUUCACCUCUUCUGCUGGCAGAUCAUUUGCUGAUAUGAUUUCUUCCACUUCAGAAGGUUCAGUACUCUUGGAGCUGCCUCAUCUGCAGGAACAACAUUGCUUGUCACAUCCUCAGAUAGCUCGCUGGUGUUUGCAACAGUGCUCUCGUUGA
This 354-nucleotide ribosomal RNA is filed under the name Triticum aestivum (bread wheat). RNAcentral's name for it is "partial small subunit ribosomal RNA". Lineage: Eukaryota; Viridiplantae; Streptophyta; Magnoliopsida; Poales; Poaceae. The record is from RNAcentral.